GUGGGGAAUAUUGGACAAUGGGCGCAAGCCUGAUCCAGCCAUGCCGCGUGAGUGAUGAAGGCCUUAGGGUUGUAAAGCUCUUUCACCGAUGAAGAUAAUGACGGUAGUCGGAGAAGAAGCCCCGGCUAACUUCGUGCCAGCAGCCGCGGUAAUACGAAGGGGGCUAGCGUUGUUCGGAUUUACUGGGCGUAAAGCGCACGUAGGCGGUUUGUUAAGUCAGAGGUGAAAUCCCGGAGCUCAACUCCGGAACUGCCUUUGAUACUGGCAAGCUAGAGUACGGAAGAGGUAAGUGGAACUCCUAGUGUAGAGGUGGAAUUCGUAGAUAUUAGGAAGAACACCAGUGGCGAAGGCGGCUUACUGGUCCGGAACUGACGCUGAGGUGCGAAAGCGUGGGGAGCAAACAGGAUUAGAUACCCGGGUAGUCC
RNAcentral lists this ribosomal RNA (425 nucleotides) under uncultured bacterium. Its description in RNAcentral is "partial 16S ribosomal RNA". It matches the Rfam family "Bacterial small subunit ribosomal RNA", at positions 354 to 796 of the family's 1533-position model. The record is from RNAcentral.